RNAcentral lists this ribosomal RNA (253 nucleotides) under uncultured bacterium. Its description in RNAcentral is "partial 16S ribosomal RNA". It matches the Rfam family "Bacterial small subunit ribosomal RNA", at positions 524 to 776 of the family's 1533-position model. The record is from RNAcentral.
UACAGAGGUCUCAAGCGUUGUUCGGAUUCAUUGGGCGUAAAGGGUGCGUAGGUGGCGCGCUAAGUCAGGUGUGAAAUUUCGGAGCUUAACUCCGAAACUGCAUUUGAUACUGGCGUGCUUGAGGACUGGAGAGGAGACUGGAAUUCAUGGUGUAGCAGUGAAAUGCGUAGAGAUCAUGAGGAAGACCAGUGGCGAAGGCGGCGAUCUGGGUCGAUACUGACGCUGAGGUGCGAAAGCGUGGGGAGCAAACAGG